AUCAUUUACGCAGGCCGCACGUAGUUGCCGAUUAAACGCGAUUCGAGAGCGCUUCGCUACGAUGCGUCUCCGUGGCGUUCCGUUGGCGGAAAAGAGCGGCGAUAGCGGAUGACGUCAACUUCACUCCGAUUUAUCGCGCGAGUCAAGCGAGGGUUAAGAGGCCGAAAUCGAGACGGCUAAUCGAGACGGCUAAUCGAGAGUAUCGAGACGGCUUCCCUGCACGCACAAGGUGUCAUACGCGUGCUGUAACGCGCGCUAACGCAUGCAUAUAUACAAAGUAAGGGUCAAUCAAUCGCGUCGAUUCGACAUCUUAAGUUUUAUAGCUUGACUCGCGUUAUGUCGCGGCGGUAAAUCGGAGUGAAGUUGCCGACGCUGACGUCAUCCGCUAUCGACGCUCUUUCCCGUCAACGGAACGCCACGAAGACGCGGCGUAGCGGAGCGCUCUCGAUUCACGUUUAAUCAAGAAUUACGGCUUGCCCAACUGGUCCUGUAUAUUCGUUGCGUUUCGGCAAUAAGCGCGCGCGUGUGAGAUCGUGUGUAAGAGCUGUGGAGGAGCAGCGCUGCGAAGAAUUCCGAGAGAAGGAGCGGCAGAAGCUCGGCGUCGGGCAGCGCGAGAGGGAAGAGGACGCGCGAGGAGAGCAACAGAAGCUUGGUCGGCGUCGGUCGGCGUCAGUCGGCGUAGCGCGACUGCGGAGGGCGGACUUCCAAUAAAAUCGGGAACGCCUACGAAGCUGGAAAUCGAGGAGGCGCGGCUUGGAACCGCGAUAACACGUACAUCACGAUUACUGGCGAAAUCACGUUUCCGGAACGGCGAAUAAACGCGUUCGACGAUUUGCGAGUGUUUCCCCGGAAAUUUUCGCCUCGCUUCCUGGAUUCCAUACGCUUUCGUUGGUACGUAAAUAUCGACUCUCUACGUCCGCUCAAGGAAGUUUGCAGUUCGCUACGACUGCGUUUCCAUGGCGCAGGAACACAUAGGACGUUAUUAAAAUAGAUUAGUGUCGAAAAUCGCGACCUCUUUCCCUCUGCAGUUUUCGCGUCUACUUCUUCGUGUUCUUUAAUAUCUGACAACAAUUUUACUUUAUAAUCGUUGAAUUAACUAAAAAGAAAUUUAUGUGCAUAUUCACAUAUGCUACAUAGUCCAAAUAUUAUUCCUAAUUUAAAUAUGCUUUUUACUCUGAAAAAGAUUGUAUUCUCUCCGGCAGUUUCUGUCGUAAAAAGAUAAUACCGAUCGUGUGACGAAAAUACAAGCCAAUUUUUUGUUAACAUGUUCCAUAUUCCCGUUUAUAACUAUACCUUCACUACUUUGCCCGUUUUCAAUCGUUAAUAGGAUUAAUUUAACAAUUGCCAAUUAUUGUAAAUAAUUUGAUAAAAUGUUUUGCACUAUUUGUAAUCUCUCCAAAUUAUUACGUAAAUAACAAUAUUUUUUUGAAGAUUUUGUGCAAACAGUAAUAUUUCGCAUUUUAAUAGAU
Long non-coding RNA from Solenopsis invicta (red fire ant), 1469 nucleotides. RefSeq lists it as uncharacterized. The transcript is spliced from 3 exons. Lineage: Eukaryota; Metazoa; Arthropoda; Insecta; Hymenoptera; Formicidae. The record is from RefSeq and is a predicted model, not a curated record.